ACUGCCCCUAGAAGCAUUGCAGGUGUGGCUGCUGUGUCACAUGUGUGUCAGUAGAUGGCAGAGAGAACAGAGGCUGUGUCUACGCUUAGCGUUCUGACCUAUGAACGUCGGAAUGAUAAGUAGCCUAACAUUC
This is a small nucleolar RNA of Meriones unguiculatus (Mongolian gerbil), 133 nucleotides long. The record is from Ensembl. Lineage: Eukaryota; Metazoa; Chordata; Mammalia; Rodentia; Muridae.